CCCAGCCUACGGGGGGCAGCAGUGGGGGAUAUUGCACAAUGGGGGGAACCCUGAUGCAGCGACGCCGCGUGGGUGAAGGAGCGUUUCGGCGCGUAAAGCCCUAUCGGCAGGGAAGAAGGAGGACGGUACCUGACUAAGAAGCCCCGGCUAACUACGUGCCAGCAGCCGCGGGAAUACGUAGGGGGCAAGCGUUAUCCGGAAUUACUGGGUGUAAAGGGAGCGUAGGCGGGAGAGCAAGUCGACUGUGAAAUCUAUGGGCUUAACCCAUAGCUGCGAUCGAAACUGUU
This 287-nucleotide ribosomal RNA is filed under the name uncultured bacterium. RNAcentral's name for it is "partial 16S ribosomal RNA". It matches the Rfam family "Bacterial small subunit ribosomal RNA", at positions 330 to 637 of the family's 1533-position model. The record is from RNAcentral.